Long non-coding RNA from Cyprinus carpio carpio, 1758 nucleotides. NCBI's taxonomy places the organism in Eukaryota, Metazoa, Chordata, Actinopteri, Cypriniformes, Cyprinidae. The record is from Ensembl.
AUGAUACUGGAUUUGAAUAUUAAAGUGACUGCAUUUACCAGCUGCUUUCUGUCUUUAAUUUUAAUCUAUAAAAACAGAAAAUCAUUCGUCUUGGCUGCUUUUUUUGUAUGUGUGUAUGUAUUCAUGUAUUUAUUAUUAUUAUUAUUAUUAAUAUUAUUAUUAUUUUGCUCUAACAAGAAUCAUUUAAUAUUUGUAAUCAUUCAAAAAAUAUUGGCCCCUUUCAUAAUGUUGUUCAGAAAUGACGGCCACAUGCUAAUGUUUUCCACACGAUGGCGCCACAGGAUAGCAAAUACUUCAAGAUCUGUUCAAAGACUUGGAAAUGUCUCAUUUAUGUGCAUAAAAAAAUGCAUAUACAUUCAUUUUUUUUUCACAAACUUUAAUAAAGCCCAAUAUAGUAAUUAUGCAAAAACUAUCAUCUCCUAAAUACCAUUAUAUUUUAUCUUAUUUUAAUAGUAUUGACAACAUAUUUCUCAAGUUAUCACACAUUACUGAGAAAGUGAAGAAGGGACACUAUAUUUGUUAUCUAUUUUCAUGUUGUGCAUAUAAAAAUUUACUUGAAAAGAGACACGUCCAUUGUGUAACUGCAUCAUCUACACAAACCAUUGUGCUUGGACCCCUUAUGAUCACACUUAAACCACAUUGUUUCAGUUACCUUCUGUGUCUUUGCCCACAACGCUUCAAUGACAGGAAUGUGAAAUAGCAAACAGGGGAAAAAACUUUAUUUGCAUCCAGCUAGCCAACUGUAUUACAGAUGUUCCAUAGCCAAGACUUUUAUUAGAAUAGAAAAUAGCAAGGGUUCAAAUAAAUAGAUUAUUAAUCAUUUAAUUUCAGUUUCUUAAUGAAUAUUGUUCUGUGUGUGUGAUUUCAAAGUCUUGAUGGUUCGGAUUAACCCUUUAAUUGCCGUAUCCCUUAAAACCUGACUGCCAGAGGGUUACUGUAAAUGCAUGUGCCCGCUGGGCACAGUUUACCUGAUGCCACCGGGGUGGCGUUUGCGCUGAUGGCUUGAGCCCGCCAUCGCUGCUUGCAGCUAUAUUUAUUAUUAUUUUUUAUUUUUUUUUUAACCUCUCGGGGGCUUUUUGGAGGCCCUUAACAUGCUCAAAAAAACUCUUGAAAAAUUGGCACACACAUUGGAACCUGCGGCCAUUAGGGCCGGGCAGAGACUGAUACACGGGCGUGGCACAGGGGCUCUACAGCGCCCCCUGGAACAUGGAGGGCCAUAUAUCAUACAUACUUGCACGUAGACUUAUGAAACUCGGUACACAUAUAGAUCUCAUCAAUCCAAACAGCUUUCGUAUUGCAUGUCAUAGGCUCCGCCCAACAGGAAGUUGGCAAUUUAGGGUUUAGUAUUCUUAUUUUUCGUCAAAGUUGUGGGGGCUUUUGGGGCCCUUAACAUACUCAAAAACUCUUGAAAAUUUGCACACACCUAGGAAUCUGUGGCCAUUAGGAGGCCACAGAGGCUGAGACCCGGGCGUGGCACAGGGGCUCUAUGGCGCCCCCUGGAACAAAGCCAGAAAUGUUGAUGUAUAGCUCACACAUACUUGCACAUAUUCAUAUGAAACUCAUUACACAUAUAGAUCUCAUUGAGCCAAACAACUUUCAUAUUGCAUGUCAUAGGCUCCGCCCAACAGGAAGUCAGCUAUUUAGAGCUGUGUAAAAAAAGCGCAUGCUCUGGAAUUUGAUAUACUUGUCAUGAGGUUUUUCUACCCGAUUGCCACCAAACUUGGUGAACAUGAUCUCAAGACAUUGGGGAUGCAAAAA